Molecule: long non-coding RNA, 463 nt
Filed under: Vigna radiata
Lineage: Eukaryota; Viridiplantae; Streptophyta; Magnoliopsida; Fabales; Fabaceae
Description: long non-coding RNA (VRAD_LNC015322)
Source: RNAcentral
AUGCAUAUUGUUCAAUGUAUCCCUUAGAUAUAGAAUGCACAGAAAAAGUACAAGGGAACUUACCUCCUUCAUGGUNGAAGGAAUGCUAGUAGGACUUCAUCGAAAAAGUCAUCCUGGAUUGGAAUGUUAACUCUUCCCUUCUCAAUCCUACUAAGAUGGUCAACUACUAAAUUGUGUGCCCCACUUCUGUCUUGAAUAAGAGACAACUUGUCCUUCUCGUUCUUGACCAUUGUGAUUCCACCUUUCUUCAGGACCGUAUGCAUAGGGCCCACCCAAAUGCUGUCAGAAUUGUGGUCUAUAAUACAUGUUUGUAGUAGCUUGGUGUCCCUUUUCUUUACAACCCCCAUCAGUUGAGAAUUCAGUCUUCCUUGGGGUUGUCUCAUUGGUUUAGCAUCACUUGAUAAGUCAAUACAAAACAAAGAAUGAUCUUUAAUCGGAUACUUCCCAGAUUCCAACACGUUGA